Molecule: long non-coding RNA, 225 nt
Filed under: Lathyrus oleraceus (garden pea)
Lineage: Eukaryota; Viridiplantae; Streptophyta; Magnoliopsida; Fabales; Fabaceae
Description: Pisum sativum (pea) long non-coding RNA (PSAT_LNC012237)
Source: RNAcentral
GUCUUUUACUCUCGCACAAAAACAUUGGUAUUAACUCUGUAAAUUGAGACCAGAAAAGGAGUGACUAUAUUUUGAAAAAAAUUUAAACCAACUCAAUUUUGAUUCCUUUAUUCCGCUUACUUUAAAUACCGAUAUCUAAAUUGAUUAGCCGGACAUGCUAAACAUGCCUAAUUAAUAAUCAUGCAUAAAUACGGCCAUAUCAAACAGACAAUAUAUAUAAACAAC